UAAGGAAUAUUGGUCAAUGGACGCAAGUCUGAACCAGCCAUGCCGCGUGGAGGAUGAAGGCCCUCUGGGUUGUAAACUUCUUUUCUUUGGGACGAAACCCCUAUUUCUAUGGGGACUGACGGUACCAGAGGAAUAAGCACCGGCUAACUCCGUGCCAGCAGCCGCGGUAAUACGGAGGGUGCAAGCGUUAUCCGGAUUCACUGGGUUUAAAGGGAGCGUAGGUGGACUUUUAAGUCAGUGGUGAAAUCUCUGGGCUUAACCCGGAAACUGCCAUUGAUACUAUUAGUCUUGAAUUCUCUGGAGGUAAGCGGAAUAUGUCAUGUAGCGGUGAAAUGCUUAGAUAUGACAUAGAACACCCAUUGCGAAGGCAGCUUACUACGGAGACAUUGACACUGAGGCUCGAAAGCGUGGGGAGUCAAACAGGAUUAGAUACCCUGGUAGUCCACGCCCUAAACGAUGAUUACUCGACAUUAGCGAUGUUACUGUUAGUGUCU
RNAcentral lists this ribosomal RNA (494 nucleotides) under uncultured Bacteroidota bacterium. Its description in RNAcentral is "bacterial SSU rRNA". It matches the Rfam family "Bacterial small subunit ribosomal RNA", at positions 355 to 848 of the family's 1533-position model. The record is from RNAcentral. Lineage: Bacteria; Pseudomonadati; Bacteroidota.